AACGCACAUUGCGCCCUUUGGCAUUCCGAGGGGCAUGCCCGUUCGAGCGUCAUUACACCAAUCAAGCCUGGCUUGGUAUUGGGCGAGGGGCUUCAUCGCCCCCGCCCCUAAUUCGUCGGCUGGACGGUUCGAUUCUCAGCGUUGUGGUCAAUCAAUUCGCUGCGGGAGACGACCGGACGCGCCGUUAAACCUCUCAUCACAGGUUGACCUCGGAUCGGGUAGGGAUACCCGCUGAACUUAA
This 241-nucleotide unclassified non-coding RNA is filed under the name uncultured fungus. Its description in RNAcentral is "partial contains 5.8S ribosomal RNA, internal transcribed spacer 2, and large subunit ribosomal RNA". The record is from RNAcentral. Lineage: Eukaryota; Fungi.